UCCUCGGUAGCUCAAUGGUAGAGCCGUCGGCUGUUAACCGAAAGGUUGCAGGUUCGAGUCCUGCCCGAGGAGCCA
RNAcentral lists this transfer RNA (75 nucleotides) under Chloroflexota bacterium. Its description in RNAcentral is "tRNA-Asn". It matches the Rfam family "tRNA". From Rfam's summary of the family: Transfer RNA (tRNA) molecules are approximately 80 nucleotides in length. Their secondary structure includes four short double-helical elements and three loops (D, anti-codon, and T loops). Further hydrogen bonds mediate the characteristic L-shaped molecular structure. tRNAs have two regions of fundamental functional importance: the anti-codon, which is responsible for specific mRNA codon recognition, and the 3' end, to which the tRNAs corresponding amino acid is attached (by aminoacyl-tRNA synthetases). tRNAs cope with the degeneracy of the genetic code in two manners: having more than one tRNA (with a specific anti-codon) for a particular amino acid; and 'wobble' base-pairing, i.e. permitting non-standard base-pairing at the 3rd anti-codon position. The record is from RNAcentral. Lineage: Bacteria; Bacillati; Chloroflexota.